Molecule: long non-coding RNA, 1404 nt
Organism: Arachis duranensis
Lineage: Eukaryota; Viridiplantae; Streptophyta; Magnoliopsida; Fabales; Fabaceae
Exons: 3
Source: RefSeq, a predicted model, not a curated record
CUUACUCUCUUUUGUUUAGUUCUUCCUCUCUUGAUUGAAUCUUUUAUUUUUUUUAGUUUUUUAUUUCUAUUGGGGUAAAUAAUCGGUUUGUUAUUUCUACAUGAUGUCCAUGUUGAUUUUAUAGGUAUCAAACAUUUUUUUUUAUUUUUGUUCUGAAAGUUUGGACAGAAAAGAUUUGAGAGUGAAAUUUUGCUUUGUGCCUUUCUUAUUUUUUUCAUAUUAAAAUUAUUUGUUUUUAGUAACCAGAUUUUAUUUGUAUAAAAUUAGUAAGGAUUUGAGGUCCAUAUUGAUUUGACAAGUAUCAUGAACAUUUGAUUUCAUUUUUCUUUCUUUGAAAUUUUGCACACACGAAUUGAGAGUCAAUUUUAAUUUUUUGAGUUUUUUUUUUUAAUUCUGAUUAACGCUACAUGUCGUAGGUUAGUAGCCAUAUUUGAUUAGUAUAAUAAGCGCUGCUGUUGUGAAUGUGGUAACUGACAUACGCUUAUAUACAUAAUUGUACACCACUUGAGUUUUACUUGGAUAGUUGGAUGCUAUUUAUAUACUUUUUGUUCCUGACUCACCUGUUCUUUAAUUGUGGUGCAGCUCUUGGCUUGGGAGAAAAGGCUUUUUGGGCAAGUAAGUUAUACUACUACUUGCUUAUUUUUAUAUAAAAUUUAAGGCGUUAAAUAUUUAUAUUUGGGUGUCUCGUGCAGUCGUGCUAUUUGGUGAUGUUUGUGUAUUGUCAGGUUUGCUGGGACUAAGAAAAGAAUGAGUGUCUUCAAAGGCAAUGGGAAAGAUGGAAAGUGAAAAGGUGUCAAAAGACCCUAAUAAACCAAAGAAGCAACUGAGUGGUUUCUUCGUUUAGUCCAAAAGGUGUGCUCUCAACAGAAAGUCUAUUCAUGCUGUGAGAGACAAGUUAAAUGAAUUAGAUCAUUCUAAAAGUUCAUGUGAUGAAGUUGAUGAAAGUUAGGAGGAGUAUGUGAUUGGUCUUAAACAAUGCUCUGUUGAGAAAAGAGGAGCAUCUUUCCUUGGAAGAGGUUGAUAAGAUCCUUGAUGCUGAAAUUUGAUGAGUCUCAUGGCUCUGGAGAUGAGUCUGCGUGUUAAAUGAGAUGACUGCCCAUGCCAGUUAACUAGAGCUAUUGAUUAGGACUAACAGGGCAUUAGAUAUUUUGGUUGUGUCCAUGUAAGCAUUUCAUAUUUUGGGUUGUGAUGUAGGAGAUGUGUGGAUUAAAAUGUUUUUAUCUUCUGUAUGGAAUGCUUUGUGCAUUUGUAUUGGGCUUAUUUCAAAUGUAAUUAAUAAAGUGCUAGGAUGUGAAGUGUGGACACAAUAUCAUUAACCGCGAGGCAAAUUAAUUGUGCAGUCCUUUAUGUUUGUAGUUCAAUAAUUUCUUUGAAAUUCAAUAAAGUGAAGUAGCUCCUUUAUGA